Molecule: ribosomal RNA, 426 nt
Filed under: uncultured bacterium
Lineage: Bacteria
Description: partial 16S ribosomal RNA
Rfam family: Bacterial small subunit ribosomal RNA
Source: RNAcentral
GUGAGGAAUUUUCCGCAAUGGGCGAAAGCCUGACGGAGCAAUGCCGCGUGAAGGAUGAAGGCCUAUGGGUUGUAAACUUCUUUUCUCAGAAAAGAAUUAUGACGGUAUCUGAGGAAUAAGCAUCGGCUAACUCUGUGCCAGCAGCCGCGGUAAGACAGAGGAUGCAAGCGUUAUCCGGAAUGAUUGGGCGUAAAGCGUCUGUAGGUUGUUUAAAAAGUAUUCUGUCAAAGAUUAGGGCUUAACCCUAGAUAGGCAGAAUAAACUUUUAAGCUAGAGUGUGGUAGAGGCAGAGGGAAUUCCCGGUGGAGCGAUGAAAUGCGUAGGUAUCGGGAGGAACACCAAAGGCGAAGGCAGUCUGCUGGGCCAAUACUAACACUGAGAGACGAAAGCGAGGGGAGCAAAUGGGAUUAGAUACCCCGGUAGUCC